AUGCCACCAAAGAAGGUUUCCAAGAGCAAGACCGGCUUCUUCAGGGUGCGGACAAAGCCAUCCGGGAACUUCGGCGCGGAGUUCCAGUGCGAUGGCUAUCGCUACUGGAUCGACACAUUCGACUCCAAUGACGAGGCCUCGUGUGCGUACGACAUCGCUGCGUGGUGUUCCGGUCGGCUGAGGCAUGAGAUGAACUUCCCGAAGAUCGAAACCCGAGCGGACGUGGAGUUCAUCGGGCCGAAGAAUAUGAAGAUUCGACGGAUGGACGAGAAGAAGGAGGAGGAGAAGAAGAAAUCGGCGAUUCUCGUUGCUCCCGACGAUAGUGGCGGCGUGACGAUGAUGUGGUUCCCGUGGGAGCAUCCGGAGUAUGUCCAGGCCAAACACGAGUCCUUUUGGGAAGCGUGGGCCAAGCAGGAGAAGAAGCCGCUGAAGAAGGAGGAGGAGGCCGGCCCCUCGAUGGUGAUCCCCGCCGAGUCUGAUUCGUUGGGCUAG
Molecule: ribosomal RNA, 492 nt
Filed under: Triticum aestivum (bread wheat)
Lineage: Eukaryota; Viridiplantae; Streptophyta; Magnoliopsida; Poales; Poaceae
Description: partial small subunit ribosomal RNA
Source: RNAcentral